UCUCUAAUCUUGAUCACAUUUGCAAAGUCCCUUUUGCCACGUAACAGAACAUUUUCACGGGCUCCAGGGAUAAGGGGGAGGGUGUCUUUUCUGGGAGCAGGAAUCAGGGGUCAGGAGUGGUAGGACAGGGGCCUGCUUGUUUGUUUUUUUAUAAGCCCCGUGGUAUUCUUUGACUUUUUCACUUAAGUACGUGCUGCAUUUUGACCGAAUGAAACCCCAAAAGUUUAAUUCCGUAGCCAAAUAUGUGAGUAUCGAGUUCCAAGGGACCCUAUGUUAGGUCGCGUAUCAAACGUAGUCACUAGGCACGUGAUCGGUAUUACACAAAAUCCAUUUUUGUGUUUCUAGGCAAAAUGACGUAAGAUCUGCAACACGUGUUAAGGAGUAUUUGUUGGGCGCAGUCGUGGCGGGGGCCCUUGUGAAAAUUCUGCUUUGGACGGGCCACCGGGCUCAUCCGGUGGCCCACCUCCUGCGUUCUUACCGUCGUGUUAAAGGACCCGCUCUGGUUACUACUGGCAGCUGCUGCUCGUGGCUAGCUACUUCCUGUAGCAACGAUGAGAACACGGAUGCCCGGGGAGACGAAGGGGCCCUGCCCACGGCAUUGCUAGCGUCCGCAGCAAAGACCCUCACUCCGCAAGUCACGUUGCUCUGAGCAAAGCAGCCUCCCCCCGACUAACCACCUGAAGCUCAGCCAAAACUUACUCACUUCUAAGUUCCUAGCGCCUCGUCCGUUGCCUAGCACCUAGGUGAAUCAAUGGGCAGAUGAAUCUUAAGAUGCUGUGAAAAGCUCACGUGAAUGAUUUAAAUUCUCCAACGGCUUCCGUUUGCCAGGCCAACUUGGCCAGUUUGCAAUAAAAUGUUUCUUCCUUA
Long non-coding RNA from Herpailurus yagouaroundi (jaguarundi), 867 nucleotides. RefSeq lists it as uncharacterized. The record is from RefSeq and is a predicted model, not a curated record. Lineage: Eukaryota; Metazoa; Chordata; Mammalia; Carnivora; Felidae. The transcript has 2 exons.